UAAUACGGAGGGUGCAAGCGUUAAUCGGAAUUACUGGGCGUAAAGCGCGCGUAGGCGGCUCUUUAAGUCGGAUGUGAAAGCCCCGGGCUCAACCUGGGAACUGCAUCCGAUACUGGAGGGCUAGAGUGUAGGAGAGGGAGGUAGAAUUCCAUGUGUAGCAGUGAAAUGCGUAGAUAUAUGGAGGAAUACCAGUGGCGAAGGCGGCCUCCUGGCUUAACACUGACGCUGAGGUGCGAAAGCGUGGGGAGCAAACGGGAUUAGAUACCCCGGUAGUCCACGCCGUAAACGAUGUCUACUAGCUGUAGGGGUACUUGAGACCUUUGUAGCGCAGCUAACGCACUAAGUAGACCGCCUGGGGAGUACGGCCGCAAGGUUA
Molecule: ribosomal RNA, 376 nt
Filed under: uncultured Gammaproteobacteria bacterium
Lineage: Bacteria; Pseudomonadati; Pseudomonadota; Gammaproteobacteria
Description: bacterial SSU rRNA
Rfam family: Bacterial small subunit ribosomal RNA
Source: RNAcentral